This 71-nucleotide transfer RNA is filed under the name Streptococcus pyogenes. RNAcentral's name for it is "tRNA-Gly". It matches the Rfam family "tRNA". Rfam says of the family: Transfer RNA (tRNA) molecules are approximately 80 nucleotides in length. Their secondary structure includes four short double-helical elements and three loops (D, anti-codon, and T loops). The record is from RNAcentral. RNAcentral also lists the same sequence under 1 other name. Lineage: Bacteria; Bacillati; Bacillota; Bacilli; Lactobacillales; Streptococcaceae.
GCGGGUGUAGUUUAGUGGUAAAGCUACAGCCUUCCAAGCUGUUGUCGCGAGUUCGAUUCUCGUCACCCGCU